This 402-nucleotide ribosomal RNA is filed under the name uncultured bacterium. RNAcentral's name for it is "bacterial SSU rRNA". It matches the Rfam family "Bacterial small subunit ribosomal RNA", at positions 355 to 774 of the family's 1533-position model. The record is from RNAcentral.
UGGGGAAUAUUGGACAAUGGGGGAAACCCUGAUCCAGCAAUGCUGCGUGAGUGAAGAAGGCCUUAGGGUUGUAAAGCUCUUUCGCCCGCGAAGAUAAUGACGGUAGCGGGAGAAGAAGCCCCGGCUAACUCCGUGCCAGCAGCCGCGGUAAUACGGAGGGGGCUAGCGUUGUUCGGAAUUACUGGGCGUAAAGCGUACGUAGGCGGAUGCGCAAGUUGGGGGUGAAAUCCCGGGGCUUAACCUCGGAAUUGCCCUCAAAACUGCACGUCUUGAGACCGAGAGAGGUAAGGGGAAUUCAUAGUGUAGAGGUGAAAUUCGUAGAUAUUAGGAAGAACACCAGUGGCGAAGGCGCCUUACUGGCUCGGUACUGACGCUGGGGUACGAAAGCGUGGGGAGCAAACA